Molecule: long non-coding RNA, 460 nt
Organism: Phyllostomus hastatus (greater spear-nosed bat)
Lineage: Eukaryota; Metazoa; Chordata; Mammalia; Chiroptera; Phyllostomidae
Exons: 3
Source: RefSeq, a predicted model, not a curated record
CUUUAGGUAAAAUAAAGUGUUCUGGUGCCCUCCAGCGCCGCGAAACUGAAGUAUUAUUAAUACGUGGUAUUUUUACAGGAGAUCAAAACUCAAUUCCUGACACUCUCCGGGACUAUCAUCCAUUCCUGAGCCUCAGGGUACUAUAAACAACAGACUAUGUUCCUCCAUCUACUUACCUCAACUGAUGUUUUCCAAAGCAUGAAAGUCUGAACAGUAAACCUCCAUCUGUUAGAGGAAGAAAGAGACAGCAGUUACUACCCACAUGAUGUGGAUUCUCUGCAGCUCACCUGCUGAGGUGAAGAGGCAGUGCUGCGGCCUAAAUGACAAGUACAUGUUCCUGCUGGAAACCAGUACAGUGUCCAUGAUAUUCCAACUACUUUCAAGUAGAAAACACAAAUUGUGUAUGUGUGUGCUUUAAACAAUUAGAACCCAACAAUUAAACUGAUACAAGUGGUUUAAA